UACGUAGGGGGCAAGCGUUGUCCGGAAUUAUUGGGCGUAAAGAGCGCGUAGGCGGUCCGAUAAGUCGGCUGUGAAAGUCAGGGGCUCAACCCUUGAAAGCCGGCCGAUACUGUCGGACUAGAGUCCGGAAGAGGCAAGUGGAAUUCCCGGUGUAGCGGUGGAAUGCGUAGAGAUCCGGAAGAACACCGGUGGCGAAGGCGGCCUGCUGGGCAGUAGCUGACGCUGAGGCGCGACAGCGUGGGGAGCAAACAGG
RNAcentral lists this ribosomal RNA (253 nucleotides) under uncultured bacterium. RNAcentral's name for it is "partial 16S ribosomal RNA". It matches the Rfam family "Bacterial small subunit ribosomal RNA", at positions 524 to 776 of the family's 1533-position model. The record is from RNAcentral.